CGGAGUGUAGCUCAGCUUGGUAGAGCACUGCCUUCGGGAGGCAGGGGCCGGAGGUUCGAAUCCUCUCACUCCGACCA
Molecule: transfer RNA, 77 nt
Filed under: Methylomonas sp.
Lineage: Bacteria; Pseudomonadati; Pseudomonadota; Gammaproteobacteria; Methylococcales; Methylococcaceae
Also listed under: 30 other names
Description: tRNA-Pro
Rfam family: tRNA
About the family: Transfer RNA (tRNA) molecules are approximately 80 nucleotides in length. Their secondary structure includes four short double-helical elements and three loops (D, anti-codon, and T loops).
Source: RNAcentral